CGACAUGAUGAUAAAUCACUUUUUUUUUACUAUUUCUGGUACCUCUUAUGUUAGAGCCUUCGGGCUCAAUGAAUGAACAGGACUUCUGAUC
Small nucleolar RNA from Fusarium graminearum, 91 nucleotides. It matches the Rfam family "A. fumigatus snoRNA Afu_264". The record is from Rfam. NCBI's taxonomy places the organism in Eukaryota, Fungi, Ascomycota, Sordariomycetes, Hypocreales, Nectriaceae.